RNAcentral lists this ribosomal RNA (618 nucleotides) under Escherichia coli. RNAcentral describes it as "partial 23S ribosomal RNA". It matches the Rfam family "Bacterial large subunit ribosomal RNA", at positions 2159 to 2776 of the family's 2925-position model. Lineage: Bacteria; Pseudomonadati; Pseudomonadota; Gammaproteobacteria; Enterobacterales; Enterobacteriaceae. The record is from RNAcentral.
GAAGUGUGGACGCCAGUCUGCAUGGAGCCGACCUUGAAAUACCACCCUUUAAUGUUUGAUGUUCUAACGUUGACCCGUAAUCCGGGUUGCGGACAGUGUCUGGUGGGUAGUUUGACUGGGGCGGUCUCCUCCUAAAGAGUAACGGAGGAGCACGAAGGUUGGCUAAUCCUGGUCGGACAUCAGGAGGUUAGUGCAAUGGCAUAAGCCAGCUUGACUGCGAGCGUGACGGCGCGAGCAGGUGCGAAAGCAGGUCAUAGUGAUCCGGUGGUUCUGAAUGGAAGGGCCAUCGCUCAACGGAUAAAAGGUACUCCGGGGAUAACAGGCUGAUACCGCCCAAGAGUUCAUAUCGACGGCGGUGUUUGGCACCUCGAUGUCGGCUCAUCACAUCCUGGGGCUGAAGUAGGUCCCAAGGGUAUGGCUGUUCGCCAUUUAAAGUGGUACGCGAGCUGGGUUUAGAACGUCGUGAGACAGUUCGGUCCCUAUCUGCCGUGGGCGCUGGAGAACUGAGGGGGGCUGCUCCUAGUACGAGAGGACCGGAGUGGACGCAUCACUGGUGUUCGGGUUGUCAUGCCAAUGGCACUGCCCGGUAGCUAAAUGCGGAAGAGAUAAGUGCUGAAA